This 466-nucleotide ribosomal RNA is filed under the name Purohita taiwanensis. RNAcentral's name for it is "partial 16S ribosomal RNA". It matches the Rfam family "Bacterial large subunit ribosomal RNA", at positions 1922 to 2600 of the family's 2925-position model. Lineage: Eukaryota; Metazoa; Arthropoda; Insecta; Hemiptera; Delphacidae. The record is from RNAcentral.
UUUAAAUAGCUGCAGUAUUUUAACUGUACUAAGGUAGCAUAAUAAUUAGUCUUUUAAUUGAGGUCUGGAAUGAACGGUUUAACAAGGUGAAAACUUUCUUAUUUAAAUUACUUUGAAUUUAAUUUUUUAGUUAAAAAGCUAAAAUUUUUAAAUGGGACGAUAAGACCCUAUAGAUCUUAAAUUUUUUUUUAUCUUAAUUUCUUGGUUAAUAAAAUGUUAAAAUUUUAAAAAAAAUUUUUGUUGGGGUGACAUUAAAAUUUUUAAAUCUUUUAAUCAUUUUUACAUAAAUAAAUGUAUAUUUGAUCUUAACAUUUAGAUUAAAAAAUUAAGAUACCUUAGGGAUAACAGCGUAAUAAAUUUGAAUAGUUCAUAUUGAUAAAUUUGUUUACGACCACGAUGUUGAAUUAAUAUAAAAUUUUAGAGCAGAAACUUAAAGUUUAGGUCUGUUCGACCUUUAAAUAUUACA